UUCAACUUGUCAGCUCAGGUAAUCGAACCAGCGACCUCUGGCCCAACGGUCAAACCCGUUAGGCUACCUGCCAACCUUCCAACCCUCAAUUUGUCAGUAACGUGUGAUGAUGGGUCAACCCAGGUCCUGCUAGUUCAGACUAUGAAGAUUUGAGGUCAGUGUGACCUGUCCCAGUGUGAGGUCUAUGAAGGUUUUCCAAUAACACCUUGAACCUGUAUAACUCCUCUACAGACUGGGAUUCAAAGGAUUCAAAGGCCAUUUGUGCCUCUGAGGAGUCAACGUCUGAAGCUAUCCAAAUCCAGGUCAUGCAUUUCUGAUCUCUCUCUCUCUCUGGACAAAUCAACAAUGUGAUUGAUGGCUGAAGUGAAGAGGGAGUGGUAAUAAGAAAAGUCAGUCUUGCUUUGGGAGAUGAUAAGGUAUUACUAAGACACUGAUGACAGAGAUGUUAGAUGUAUUGCUUUGGGAGAUGAUAAGGUAUUACUAAGACACUGAUGACAGAGAUGUUAGAUGUAUUGCUUUGGGAGAUGAUAAGGUAUUACUAAGACACUGAUGACAGAGAUGUUAGAUGUAUUGCUUUGGGAGAUGAUAAGGUAUUACUAAGACACUGAUGACAGAGAUGUUAGAUGUAUUGCUUUGGGAGAUGAUAAGGUAUUACUAAGACACUGAUGACAGAGAUGUUAGAUGUAUUGCUUUGGGAGAUGAUAAGGUAUUACUAAGACUGAUGACAGAGAUGUUAGAUGUAUUGCUUUGGGAGAUGAUAAGGUAUUACUAAGACACUGAUGACGGAGAUGUUAGAUGUUUCUGUUUCAGCUCUUCUCUACAACACUGAAAUGAGAACACACUAUUCUCUGCGUCUCAGAAUCUCUGAACACACAACUGAGAUAGGAUGGGCUUUACUCUGUAUCACUUCAUAGUGCCUUAAUGAGACUUAAUAAAAAGUUGAUGGCAUCUUUAAAGGCCACAGCAGUUUUUGUUUCUCUAUAAGCACUGCGCUGCACUAAUGGCCUAAUUUGGGGAUGGAAGUGAAGAAAAAGUGCAUUGACCUGCGGCUUGGACUCGUCGCCCUUUCAAUGUCAGGAAAACAGAUUGAUAAAGACAAGUACAAACCCAUACUGAGCUGAUUGGUAUCUACUGCAGUGAGCAGACAUACAGUAUGGGCUAAACAGUGUGAAGAACAUGACUUGUGUGCCAGAAUGUCUUAGUUGGAAGUGCAGCAGUGCAGGUACAGUAUAUGGCACAGGGCCCUGAGAUUCACCUCGCUGAGAAGUCAAUCAUAGCAGAAUGUUUUUAUUCCCUGGCUUUAUGAUGCAAUUAUCAUUCCAAUUGCAUAGUGCUGGCUACAGCCUAACUGUGUCCAAGCAGCUUCCACUUCAAAUAUUUCUCCCUCACUUUUCAUCUCCUAGUAGCUAAUUAAGAUAUUAGUAAUUGGCUCCUUUGACAAGCAAUGUGGGGAGAAAACUGAAAUAGCAAAUAGGACAUCUAUCUUGGAAGCAUUAUAUUGGUUGUAUAUAGAAAUGAUCCCCUUCCCAUCUUGGGCAAACUGAGAAUCUGGUUCCUACAAAUGUAUGCUAAUGUCUCAGAGCACACAAACUAUCUUGUUAUGCUCUCAGCCCUCAAGAGGCCUUUCUGGAAAUGUUCAAACUAUCUUUUCAACUUAAUAAUUUAAUUGCAGGACUCUUUUCCACCCGUGCUGACUGAUUGAGUAUGCAUUUCAAGCUCGUCAUAAGAGAGGUAGCAAGCUCAAACAGCACUGAUUUCUUCUUUACAAUAAAGAAAACGACCUCCGUUUGGAAUAUUGGGACUGUCUCUAAUUGGAGGAGAAAGAGUCCCUUUCUAACGGCGUUGGGAUUUUGAAAAAGUCCAUUUGCCAGAGUAAGGAAUCAUUAAACACACCAUUGAAGCCCUCUCCUUUAAUAUCGUUGAAGGGAGUUUUAGCCCAUUUAGUCUGUGGAUUGGGCAUUGUGAGCUUUUUCUAUGCAUAUUUUCAUUUCCUUGGCAGGGAAGUCAAGGAUACAAGCCUGAUCAAGCAAACACACACUGAAUAUUUAGUCUUGCAGCCUGCAUUAUCCAUUGAGUGUGGGCCUAAAGUCCAGUAUUCAUUUCCAUACAAACCACAGUGAAAUAAAGUAGAAUAACAUGUGACAGUAAGCAUCUAAUUGACAGAGUCUGACUUGUAGUUUUUUGUUUCUGUCUUUACAGUUGAUUCUUUUCACUCAGCGGUCUGACAUGGUCUGCAGCGAGGGGCUUGUGAGUCUCGGUGGAUAUGUUGGCCUAAGCAGCCGGGUCUGAAGUGAUUAUAACUGAGGAGCUAAUCCGAAGAAAGGCAAGCUGUCGUUUAUCGCUGCCUAACAGACAAAUCCACUCUAAAUGGCCGGAGAUAUUCACUCAUUGGCUCAAUAAAUCC
Molecule: long non-coding RNA, 2404 nt
Organism: Oncorhynchus keta (chum salmon)
Lineage: Eukaryota; Metazoa; Chordata; Actinopteri; Salmoniformes; Salmonidae
Exons: 3
Source: RefSeq, a predicted model, not a curated record